GGGAGCAGGCCGGCGCGGGAGCGUGAGGUCAGCAGGGGCCGUGGGCGGUGGACGCCGGCGUGUCUUGGGUUCCGAGGGACCCAGCUGUCGGAAUGGACACGCGGCAUCCACGUUCAUCUGAAUAAAGACUGCCUCUUCAGCCACAGCUAAGAUGCCUGUAAUAGGAGUGAGAGCCGCCUCUGUUGCAGGAAGCCCCUGGGAUUUCAGAGCUGCUUGUAACUGCAGCCUAACACAGCCUCAGCAGACCGAUACGUCGUCGUGUCGCCAAAACAGAGCAGAUGUAAUUAGUUAAGAUGUGGCCAUACCGGCCUAGUGGGCCCUAAAUCCAGUGAGACUGGUAUCCUUAUAAGAAGACGGAGACACGGGGAGAAGAUGGCCCCGUGAUACCAGAAGCAGACUGGAGUGAUGCAUCUGCAAACCAGGAAACAUCAAGCAAUGCUGGCAACACCAUGAGAAGAGACAAGGGAGGACCCUUCCCUAGCACUUCAGAGGGCAGACGGCCCUUCUGGCACCGUGACUUGGGACUUCUAGCUUCCAGAACCCUGAGAGAAUACGCCUGUGGUUUGAAGCCACCCGGUCUUUGCCAGUGUGUCAUGGCAGCUCUAAGAAACCAACCCAGCGUGGUUAUGCAUUUUCCUUAAGUCCAGAUCUUGGCUAACAGGAAGUGGCAAGAAAAUAAGGAAAAGCCCACUCUCUCUCUCUCUCUCUCUGGCCAGGAUGGUGUCUCCUCCCACGUGGAGAAGGAGAGCUGCUCCUUCUGCCAUUACUGCCAUUACUGCUAAUGAAAAGUGAAAUGACAAGUGAGGAGUGAGAAAAUCGGAUGGCCCCUGGUGGGCACACGCUGUGGGACUCGCUAGCCAGUGUAAGGAGCUCGGAGAGGUGUGACAGCGCUCCCCAGAGAGGACGGUUCUCCAGAUUUUGAGAAAGGCACGUCUUCUCUGGUCAUCUCUAGUUUCAGACCCAGAGAAAAGCCCGGUUCUUGGCUGGUAUUUAAGCUCCUCAUUUUUGUCACAUUGCUUUCUCACUCUAAUGAUCUUGAUCAAGUUUUCACCCUGUGAGAGUCACACGCGGGAGGAAUGGGAUGGAGCGCUCAGCCGUUCACAGAGCCCAGCCCUGCCUCCCUCUGCUUGGUGUGCUUACUCUUGGCAAGAUGCAGCUUCCUGUUCAGAGAAAAAGGACUUAAAAAGGAUCGUAAAAUGGGCUCCCAAGGCUCCUUGAAUAGCAAAUAGCUUUUAAAAGACAACACUUUAAUGGCCUAUGAGUAUCCAAGUCAAAAACAAAAGUAUUGAAUAUCCCUUUAAAUGUGUAUGAGUUUAAAAAGCAAGAUGGGAAUAGAUUUGGCAAAGUUUCUUCUGGAUUUUAUAGAAUUCAAAAUGCUCAAAAAAUUUUUACCUAUACGCCCACACACAACUGCAAAACUUUUAUAAACGACGUGGGGAGAUAACAAAAAUGAUAUUGUGCAAAUCCAAACAGUAUGCAGCUUCUGCAUUGCUGUGCCUGAUGGAAAUAUUUCUCUCUUUUAUGAGCGUCUCUCUGUGCGUGGAGAAGGAAGAAAGAUGGGCGUAUGAGGCAGGGAGGGGAGAAAGGAGGAAGAGAAGCCUAUUCCGGGCUUCAUGGCCGUUCUCAGUACUCACUCGUGUGUCCUCUAAAUGGAACCAUUUGCUGUACAUUUUGAAUUGCUAACAUUUGGUAGACUAGGGGACAAUGGAUUUUUGCGUAAACUAUGAAUUUUAUGACAAUGAAUUAGCAUGUUCAUUGAACAGAAAGUAAACAAAGCUUAGUAC
Macaca fascicularis (crab-eating macaque) is the source of this 1784-nucleotide long non-coding RNA. The record is from Ensembl. NCBI's taxonomy places the organism in Eukaryota, Metazoa, Chordata, Mammalia, Primates, Cercopithecidae.